AGUUCUCAACUUGUCAAAUGAUCUCGGAGACUAUAGCAAGGUUGAACUGAAGAUCUGCUUAACUGAUUCCCUGGCUUAGUUCCAGCAUGUGCAAUGAUGCAGUUCUGAAGUGCCAAGUGCUUAAUCAUUAAGCUUGCUCUGGGACAAAAACAUUUUACAAGUUCCACUACACAAAAGGCCCUUGCAAGACACCAGUACCUUGAUAUUUGACUUCCAGUCUCCAGAACUUGGAACCUGAACAGUCUGCUGAAGCACCUGAUGUUUGGCCUUCCUGAAUGUCAUGUAAUACGUACUUCACCAUCAAUUCAUACAGCAGAUAUCAUCAUACACAGUCCAGGUAUGAAGAUCUGGGCUCAGAGAGACUAAGUAAGUGAAUUGCCUGAAGACACAUUGUUGAGCUCUGUGUCUUCUUGACUAACACAUGAGGCCACCUCCUGGGGCUGUUUGAACUGUUUCUGCUGAUAGGGGAGGGCAUUUCUCCAGCCCUGCUUCUAGACUCCCUCUUAAUCUUCAGAUGGCCUCUCACCCAGUUGCAUGUUGAGUUAUCCUUUCAAAAGUGUACAUGCUUUCUCUGUGGAAGCUGUGGCAAAUUUCCAGACUUGGCAUCAGGUGGCUUUUGAUGAUUCUCAAAGAUAAUAUUCAUCUAACAUGAAUACAUUUUACUGCUCCUGGGGACACCUAUAAGAAUGCCCCACUGUGGCCGGGCACAGUGUCACGCCUAUAAUUCCAGCAC
Molecule: long non-coding RNA, 733 nt
Filed under: Homo sapiens (human)
Lineage: Eukaryota; Metazoa; Chordata; Mammalia; Primates; Hominidae
Description: HSALNT0306109
Source: RNAcentral